AGCCUAAAGAGACUUAAAUUUUAGGUAACCCCUGCCCAGCGACAUUAAGUCUAGCGGCCGCAGUACCUUGACUGUGCUAAGGUAGCGUAAUAAUUUGUCCUUUAAUUAAGGUCUUGAAUGAACGGGCCUACGAGAAAUGUACUGUCUCCAGUAAAAGUCUGUUGAAGUUACUUAAAAGGUGAAAAUUCCUCUAGUCAAAGAAAAAAGACGAGAAGACCCUUAGAAUUUUGAUGAUGAUUAUUAACACGUAAUAGAUCAGUUUUCGUUGGGGCGACGAGGUAGCAGCUAGACAAUCUACCUAUUAAUGUUUGGUGAGCCGAAUUUUAUUAUGUGUAACUAAAUUACCUAAGGGAUAACAGCAUAAUACUUGAUAGUGUUUGUGACCUCGAUGUUGGACUAGGGACUAAUUGGUUAACCACCAGGAUAGAUGAUUCUGUUCGAAUCCCAUACCCU
Molecule: ribosomal RNA, 453 nt
Filed under: Rumina decollata
Lineage: Eukaryota; Metazoa; Mollusca; Gastropoda; Stylommatophora; Subulinidae
Description: partial 16S ribosomal RNA
Rfam family: Archaeal large subunit ribosomal RNA
Source: RNAcentral